CCUACGGGUGGCAGCAGUGGGGAAUAUUGGACAAUGGGGGCAACCCUGAUCCAGCCAUGCCGCGUGUGUGAAGAAGGCCCUCGGGUUGUAAAGCACUUUCAGUGAGGAAGAACGCCUGGUGGUUAAUACCCAUCAGGAAAGACAUCACUCACAGAAGAAGCACCGGCUAACUCCGUGCCAGCAGCCGCGGUAAUACGGAGGGUGCGAGCGUUAAUCGGAAUUACUGGGCGUAAAGCGCGCGUAGGUGGCUUGAUAAGCCGGUUGUGAAAGCCCCGGGCUCAACCUGGGAACGGCAUCCGGAACUGUCAAGCUAGAGUGCAGGAGAGGAAGGUAGAAUUCCCGGUGUAGCGGUGAAAUGCGUAGAGAUCGGGAGGAAUACUAGUGGCGAAGGCGGCCUUCUGGACUGACACUGACACUGAGGUGCGAAAGCGUGGGUAGCAAACAGGAUUAGAUACCCCGGUAGUC
RNAcentral lists this ribosomal RNA (465 nucleotides) under Vreelandella stevensii. RNAcentral's name for it is "partial 16S ribosomal RNA". It matches the Rfam family "Bacterial small subunit ribosomal RNA", at positions 338 to 795 of the family's 1533-position model. Lineage: Bacteria; Pseudomonadati; Pseudomonadota; Gammaproteobacteria; Oceanospirillales; Halomonadaceae. The record is from RNAcentral.